UACGUAGGGUGCAAGCGUUGUCCGGAAUUAUUGGGCGUAAAGAGCUUGUAGGCGGUUUGUCGCGUCUGCCGUGAAAGCCCAGGGCUUAACCCUGGGUCUGCGGUGGGUACGGGCAGACUAGAGUGUGGUAGGGGAGACUGGAAUUCCUGGUGUAGCGGUGAAAUGCGCAGAUAUCAGGAGGAACACCGGUGGCGAAGGCGGGUCUCUGGGCCGAAACUGACGCUGAGGAGCGAAAGCGUGGGGAGCGAACAGG
RNAcentral lists this ribosomal RNA (253 nucleotides) under uncultured bacterium. RNAcentral's name for it is "partial 16S ribosomal RNA". It matches the Rfam family "Bacterial small subunit ribosomal RNA", at positions 524 to 776 of the family's 1533-position model. The record is from RNAcentral.